GUCCCAGUUCGGACUGGAGUCUGCAACCCGACUCCACGAAGUUGGAUUCGCUAGUAAUCGCGCAUCAGCCAUGGCGCGGUGAAUACGUUCCCGGGCCUUGUACACACCGCCCGUCAAGCCAUGGGAGCCGGGGGCGCCUGAAGUCCGGGACCGCGAGGACCGGCCUAGGGCGAAACUGGUAACUGGGGCUAAGUCGUAACAAGGUAGC
RNAcentral lists this ribosomal RNA (208 nucleotides) under uncultured bacterium. RNAcentral's name for it is "partial 16S ribosomal RNA". It matches the Rfam family "Bacterial small subunit ribosomal RNA", at positions 1285 to 1500 of the family's 1533-position model. The record is from RNAcentral.